Molecule: ribosomal RNA, 800 nt
Filed under: Kytococcus sp. Mg27
Lineage: Bacteria; Bacillati; Actinomycetota; Actinomycetes; Micrococcales; Kytococcaceae
Description: bacterial SSU rRNA
Rfam family: Bacterial small subunit ribosomal RNA
Source: RNAcentral
GCAAGUCGAACGGUGAAGCGGGUGCUUGCACUCGUGGAUCAGUGGCGAACGGGUGAGUAACACGUGAGUAACCUGCCCUCCACUCUGGGAUAAGCGCUGGAAACGGCGUCUAAUACUGGAUACGACCGACCCUCGCAUGGGGUGUUGGUGGAAAGAUUUAUCGGUGGUGGAUGGACUCGCGGCCUAUCAGCUUGUUGGUGGGGUAAUGGCCUACCAAGGCGACGACGGGUAGCCGGCCUGAGAGGGCGACCGGCCACACUGGGACUGAGACACGGCCCAGACUCCUACGGGAGGCAGCAGUGGGGAAUAUUGCACAAUGGGCGAAAGCCUGAUGCAGCGACGCCGCGUGAGGGAUGACGGCCUUCGGGUUGUAAACCUCUUUCAGCAGGGAAGAAGCUUUUGUGACGGUACCUGCAGAAGAAGCACCGGCUAACUACGUGCCAGCAGCCGCGGUAAUACGUAGGGUGCGAGCGUUGUCCGGAAUUAUUGGGCGUAAAGAGCUUGUAGGCGGUUUGUCGCGUCUGCUGUGAAAAUUCAGGGCUUAACCCUGGACGUGCAGUGGGUACGGGCAGACUAGAGUGUGGUAGGGGAGACUGGAAUUCCUGGUGUAGCGGUGGAAUGCGCAGAUAUCAGGAGGAACACCGAUGGCGAAGGCAGGUCUCUGGGCCAUUACUGACGCUGAGAAGCGAAAGCAUGGGGAGCGAACAGGAUUAGAUACCCUGGUAGUCCAUGCCGUAAACGUUGGGCGCUAGGCGUGGGUCUCAUUCCACGAGAUCCGUGUCGCAGCUAACGCAUUAAGC